CUAGAUGGUUUAUCUGGGCCUGCUUCAUUUGGGCCAUUCUUGCUAAUUCAUUUUUAUCUGGACAUGGGACUUGUCUCGAGGAUUCAUUUUGAUCUUGAACUUCUUGGCCCAACUUCAAAUCAUAGCCCAUAGGUUUUUUUCUAUGAAAUUCAGCGUUAAUUUCAAGCCCAGUCCCUUCUUGUUUCUUCAUCGUGGUCUCCAUAUCAUGCAUCCGGAACCCCUCUAUGCAGUGUUCCAAUUUCUUCCCUUCCAAUGAUGACAGUGGAGGCUCAGAGGGUUGACAUUGGUGUUCUUUCGUGGCUGUCUCUGAGCUUCCCAAUUCCGAAUGCUUCGAGGCUGAAAUUUCUUUAUCACUGGAGACCUCAUCCUUAUCCAACGAACUUUGCCCAUAGACGAGAUUUUUCCCCAGUACUCCAUGUGAUAUCACCGACCACGGCGUUGAUACGUUUUUUAUAAAUCUCUGAUUUUCUCUGAUGGUAGAUUUUUCAUGGCUGUUGUCGUUCUCCAUUCUUCCUGAAUCCUCUUAGCUACUUCGUACAACUGUGCUCUCUCCCGCAUUGUUAAUUUUAACUGAAAUUUCUAGAAUGUGUUCACUUCUUCUGCAUGAUGCUCGAUUGUAAUCUUCUCCCUCCACCGAUAAUAUAAUCUUUUUCCCAAUUGCAGCAGAUCGGAGCUAAAACGAGAAUAAUGUGAUGAUUUUUAGGUUGGAUUACGUAGGUUAAUUGAGUAUGAAUGGGGGUUGGAUAAGAGUGUAUAAGUGGGCUAGAAGCUAGAUUUAAGUGGUUUGGGCUACUGUAAUUAAUUUAGGCCUGCCUUACUAUAUCAUUCAUAUCUUCCACGUGUUGGGCCAACUCCAUAUCGUAGUCCAACCCUAUCUCCUUCAGCAAUUUCUUUUUGUUUCUACUGUCCAGAUUCAGAUUCUUCAGUUUUAACCCAUUACCAGAGAAAUUUCCCCAUCAUCGAGCUCUGUCAUCUUCUCCACCUUUGGCAAUAGUAAUGCUAAGAUUUCGGUUGAACUCCCAUCUCUGAUGAUUCUCUUAGGCCGAUCCUGGUGCGCUCUAUUCACCCCAACUUUACCAGAUCAAUGUGGAUAUGCAUGGGUAAUUCCCGAUGAAGUAGCGACCUCCUUUUCCUUUCUAGCCAGCUCCUUCCAGCGAUCUGUGCUACGGCUAUUUGCUCCGACUUCCUUCAAUUUUGGAAAGCUCUCAGAAGCGAUGGUGAGUUUCAGAUCCACAUUGUUUUCGGUCAGAUUAAGUGCAAUUCCCUUUUCUUUCCUACCGCUUUCGUGAAUUUCCUUUUUCUACAAUUCGAAUUUCUCCUCCUCUUCUAGUGAUGACAGUUCCUUUGUGCAAUGGAAUAUUUUCUCCACUGAUGAUGACGAUGGGGACACAUGUACUUUACCUGGCUAUUCUUCUCGUGCCGUCUCCCGAUUCAACUCAUUCCCCUACUUCCAAUCUGAAAAUUUACCAACGGAGAUCUGCUUCAUGGGAAAUCAAACCAUCAUCCUCACCUUCAAUUCUACCCAAGUCUCUAUUGGAUAGCUAUUGUCUAUCUUUUGGAACCAUGCCCAAGUCUCUCCAUAAAAGCAAGCAACUGUGGCUUCUACCUUUUUCCUCUCCGGUAAGCCGCGAUUCUUGUCUAGGCAUCAUUUUACCUCAAUCAGCCACGAAUCUAAAUUGUCCCCAUAGAAUAACAAUGUGUUGAGUCAGCCACAUGAACCCAACCCUGAAUCAUCAUUUUGAUCUCCUUCAUGUCGCCUUAACCUCAUCUCCAACAUACUCAUUACGAAGUUUAAACUCUCCUGUACUUCUCUGCUAAACAUAGUUUCCCUUUAUCUAAGAAUCGAAGGCUCUGAUACCAAUUGAUAGGAUCCUAAUUACUUCUAUUGAAUUCUUCUAUUGAUGAAUAGAGUCGAUGCUGCUGUUGCUCCUAUCUGGACCUGUGAAGUGUUGAUGAACCUGUCUUGUGGAUGAUUACUGGAUCUAGUUAGGUAGUUAAUAUGGUGGCUGAUUUAUGUAAUGGAAAGUGCAGAUGUAAUUGACAAAAUAAGCAAUAUGAAUUAGCUGGGAAGGAUGGAUUGUGAACAAUAAAUUAUUGUACUGUUUAUUCAAAUGAAAUGAAGAACGUAAAGUAAAUGAAAUGAAAAUUCCCAAGGCAUUCGAGAUGUCUUGGUCUCUCCCCAGUUUUCCCAAUCUUUCCUAAAUGAUUUCUCAGUUUUCUCCCUCAUUACAUUUAUAGAGAAUUUACUAGUUUGUUAUUACAAUUCUACCCUUUUCCUAACUAUGGAAUUCUCUAGAAUAGUAAACUAAUAACAACUUGUAUUGGAAUAUUGGAGAUGGGGAUCUACCAAGGAGCCACGAGAAUGAAAAGAAAAGCAAUCUUCUGAGAUGAGAAAAAAGAAAAUAGCGAAUUUCUUUUUAAAAGAGAGUGAGCUAAGGAGAGCGGCAGUCGAGAAAAGGGAAAUGAUUUUGUUGGUCUACAAAGAGUCACUUCUCAAUUUUGAGAAAACUAAUCCAUCCCUCCCCAGUUUGGCUAAAUCUUUAUUACAAGAGUUCGAGGAUGUAUUUCCAGAGGAUGUACCUAAUGGAUUGCCACCCAUUCGAGGCAUUGAGUACCAAAUUGACUUCAUACCGGGAGCUGUCAUUUCCAACCGACCAGCUUACUGAAGUAAUCCCGAGGAGACAAAUGAGCUUCAGAGGCAAGUGAAGGAGCUGAUAAGCAAGGGCUAUGUUAGGGAGAGCAUGAGUCAGUGUAUCGUACUAGUACUGUUUGGUGCCAAAGAAACAUAAGACAUGGAGGUUGUGCAUGGACUGCAGAGCCAUCAAUAAUAUAAUGAUAAAGUAUCGUCAUCCUAUCUCUAGAUUAGAUGACAUGGUGAUGAAUUACAUAGUGCAUACAUUUUUAGUAAAAUUGAUCUUAAAAGUGGUUAUCAUCAAAUCCGAAUAAGGGAAGAAGAUGAGUGGAAAACUGUAUUUAAGACCAAAUAUGAACUAUAUGAGUGGUUGGUAAGGCCACUUGGACUCACUAAUGCACUGAGCACUUUCAUGAGUUUAAUGAAUCAUUUUUUGCGUUUUUUUAUAGAAAAAUUUGUUGUGGUUUAUUUUGAUGACAUUUUAGUGUACAGAAAAGACCUAAAUAAGCAUGUGGAGCAUUUAAGAAAUGUGCUAGUGGCGUUAAGGAAAGAACAUCUCUACGCAAAUUUUAAGAAAUGUACUUUUUGCAUAGAAAAUGUCGUCUUUCUAAAUUUUGUGGUUAGUGCAAAUGGAGUAGAGAUAGAUGAGGAGAAGAUAAAAGUUGUUAAAGAUUGAUCUACACCUAAGAGUAUAAUCGAAGUGAGGAGUUUUCACAGGUUGGCUAGUUUUAUAUGCGGUUUGUAAAGACUUUAGCACAAUCACUAUACCACUCACGAAAGUAGUAAAGAAGAGCAUAGGCUUUCAUUGGGACGAUAAAUAGGAGCAUGCAUUUAAUACUAUUAACGAUAAAUUAUGUAAAGCACCUAUUUUAGCAUUACCUAAUUUUGAAAAAAAUGUUCAAGAUUGAGUGUGAUGUAUCAGGAAUAGAUAUUGGAGCAGUUUUAAUGCAGGAUAGGAGGCCUAUAGCUUAUUUCAGUGAAAAGAUGAGUGGGGGUUGUACUAAACUACCUAACUUAUGACAAAGAGCUAUACUCAUUUGUUCAGGCGUUGGAAACAUGGCAGAAUUACCUAUGGCCUAAGGAGUUCAUUAUUUACACCGAUCAUGAGUCGUUGAAGCACUUGUAAGGUCAAGGAAAGCUAAAUAAGAGGCACGCCAGUUGGAUGGAGUUUAUUGAAACAUUUCAUUACGUCAUUUGGUACAAGCAAGGUAAAAAAAGUAGUGGCAAAUGCUUUAUUUCGAAUGUAUGCAUUGUUAAAUUCACUAAAUGCUAAAUUACUUGGCUUAAAACAUAUUAUGGAUAUGUAUGAAAAUGACUUAGAUUUUUUUCGAUAUUUACAAAUCAUGUGGUAAGGGGGCUAUAGAUAAGUUCUUUUAAACACGAGGAGUACUUGUUUCGAGAAAAUAUGUUAUGUGUUCCUAAUUGUUUAAUGCGAGAGUUGCUAGUGAGAUAAGCACAUAGUUGUGGAUUAAUGGGGCACUAUGUGGUACAAAAGAUUUUAGAGAUGUUAGGGGAGCAUUUCUAUUGGCUUAAGAUGAAAUGUGACGUCGAGAGGAUUUGUGGUAGAUGCAUACCUUACAAGAGAGCUAAGUCUAGAGUUUUACACUAGGGACUAUAUACACCAUUACCUAUACCUAGUGAACCAUGGGUUGAUAUUUCAAUAGAUUUUAUUUUGGGUUUACCUUGGACUAAGAAAGGACACGAUUCAGUUUUUGUGGUGGUAGAUAGAUUUAGUAAGAUGGCGCAUUUUAUACCAUGUCACAAAACCGACAAUGCCAAAUACAUAGUGGAUUUGUUCUUUAAAGAUGUGGUGUGUUUGCAUGGGGUUCCUAAAAGCAUAGUGUCGGAUAGAGAUGUAAAAAUUUUAAGUCAUUUUUGGCGAGUUUUGUGGGAUAAGUUGUAUUACCCCGAGCUUCACGUUAUACAUAUGGGCAAUAUGAUUCAUGCAUUUCAUGCUAAUUACAUUGUCAUUUGCAUCAAUUUUCUAAUUGCUUUAUCUUAAAACGGUGCAUUCGAUCAUCGAGGCUUUAAAAUCUUUAUAUGGUGGUAAUCUUUGAAUCCUUGACAUAGAUGUUGAACUUUACAUUGAGCUAUGAAAGAAAAUUAGGUUAACUAAAUGUUGGAGAUUGACUUGGUAAGUAAUGGAAAAUCGAAAAUGUCGAAAAUUAGUAUCGACAAAGGUUCAAGUUUUCCAUUUCGUUAAUCGAGGUCAUCUCAAACCUUAGACAGGUAAUUGACAUAUUUGGGACAUGAGGCAUGAAGUGACAUGAUCACGAUGUAAUAAUAUAUGUUUCCUAUGACGUUAUAAAUAUUAAGAUGCGAAUUGUUGAAAUCGUUCGAGAAUUGAGAGUCGAUCGAGUAAGUAAUUAUAUGAAUGGUUGAGAAAUUAGCUCUAUAAUAUAUUUUGGGAUCUUAGGGAAAGUGAAAUGGAUUUAAACACGUCAAAUUAUCCAAGGAUACUUGAUUUGUACCUGCAAAGAUAGAUAUAAAAUCAUAUUAUGCUACAAGUGACCACCUCAUUCUUGAACACCUCGUGCUUGGGAUGUUUGUUAUUUUAACAAUCAAUUUCUUCAACCUUAAGGCAUCAAUCUAAUGUCUACUCCCUAAGAACUUAAUAUAGGAUGAAUAUAUAUCUUAAAAGUCACAAAUGGAUCCAAAUAUAUAAUGGUUGAAAGUCAAGUAUUGCUGCAAAGAAGACACAUCAUGCUUGGACUGCUCAUGCUUAAGGAUACUUGUCCUUUGUUCACAUUUUUCUUCACCCUUAAACAAUACUCACGACCCCAGUCCUUAAGAAUACUUAUACAUAUCUUAAAUAAUACAUUUAACCUUCCAAAUUUAUCCUCAAGUGACCCCAAGAGAAACAGAAAGCAAAGGAAGUAAAGAGAAAUAGAAAAAUAAGAAACUGGAAUUGCAAUUUAAGCAGGUUAGUUCAAUUCACGGUUUUGAAUUUUUUUUCCUUAGUUCUUUUGGGUGUUUUAUAACCUAUUCAAACUAUAAACUUGCUUGAAAUUAUGUGGGAGGUUUUGGAUAAUUUUAUGAUGGCAAAAUAAGGGAGAUUAAUUACAAGAACUUGAGGGAAAACAACCUGGGUAGAUGCAGGUUGCUGGAUUUGAGUGGUUUAUACUUUGAUUUUGGGAUGAUACUUAGUGUGUAACUUAUAUCUAUCAAUAUGAACAUUUUUAUAUGUAAGUAUGAAGUGUAGAAAUGAUUUUAAAUGGCUCAUAAUUCUAUUGGUAUCAUACUAAUACAAUGGAAACCGAAAACUAUCGCGAGGAAAAUAAAACUGCUAGAUUUUGUGUAGUGGAAAAUGGACUGUUUUUGAAGCUCAAAAUCCUUCAUUUGUCACAACCUUAUGACCUGAUUAUCUUCAAAUAUAUUUUAUAGGUGGGUGGUAAGAAUUUGGGAGUCGUUGGAUAGAGUUAAGGAUGAGAAAAAGCAUUAGAAAAAAAUAAUUGGACGGUAAUGAAAAUCUGAAAACAGAUUCUGUCCAUUUGGGUAUUUAAUGUGAUUUCAACAUUUAUAAGUUCAUUAUUGGUCUCUUGGACCUAUAAAAUAGAAUCUAAGGAGUACUAGGUUAAUGAAAACUAUUGGAUGACGCUGACAUUCAUAAUUGGACUCAAGAAAUAGCGAGACUUAUGGGAUUAGUUUGUAAUGCCAUCAGUAACUUGAAAUAAUGAUUUCGUCUAAAUUGUUUUGGCAUGAAUGGAUGUAUUUUGGGAUUGUGUGUGUUAAGGUUAUUAAAUGGAGGAUUGUCUUUAAUAUUAGAUGGUAAUGCACGUGAUUUUGUGACGUUGAGCAACAAAGAAAUUGAUAUACACUGCACAGGAGCUUGCACACACAAAGACGAAAGGUAAGUAAAAAUCCAUUUGCAACUACGAUGCAAGAGCCUAGUAUUUGUGAUAUGGUAAUGUUGUAAUAGUUACAUAACUUUGAUAAGAGGUUUAUUACACAUCAUAUGAUGGUUAUGAUCGUUGAGUAUGACGUUGGGGAACCUAUUGACAUCUAUUUUUAUUAAGUAUAUCAUUUAUGAGCAUUUUCAUCUGUAUACACGACAUGUGAUCAUGGUUGAAAAUUCUGCAUGUGAAACAUGAUUCCAAAUUGAGUUUUUCUUAUAAAUAUUUUAUUGACCACUAAUGGGGUACCAAGACAUAUGAGGCAUGCUUAUGUGAUAUGUUUUGGUAUCGCGGGUGAUACUUCCUGGGUGAUUGCAAAGGUAGACAGGGGAUGGACCUUUGGUGAUCACAGGAGGGCGAACCACUUGACAAUGCCCUUGUGAUAUUAUAAUUAUUAACGCUGUCGGUGGGAUACUUCUUGGGGGAUCAUAGAGGUAGUUAGAGGAUAGGCCUCUUGUGGCCACGAGAGGAUGGUCCACUCGCCGGUGUGAAUUUUAUAUUGGUCAUUUGAUUAUUGAUAUUAUGCAGAGCUCUAUCCAGUGCCUAGUAGGUGGGUCAAGGGACCAAUGAAAUUAAAGAUUUCAAAUGAAAUGAUUUCGGGUCGACUUUGAUAAAUAUUGGAAUAUGAUGCAUCUUUAUCGUGAUUUUAAAGUAAAUGGCACAGUUGCAUAUAUCGUUAUUAUUCAUACUCAUGACAUGCAUGAUUUUUACUUACUAAGCAUUGACUUAUGUAGUUCUUGCAUUGUAGGUGAGCAUGGAACUACAUAGAGAGCACGACUAGCAAUGGAGCUCUUACAGGAUUCUAGAGUUCGAUGUACAUGGAUGACGACCCGUAGAGUUAUUUUGUGGGCUAUUAUUUUGAGCGUAUGCUCUAUUGUGUUAUAUGUUAGGGAUCCUGUGUUGUAUAUCUUUUAACAUGGCCUGUAGACAUGUUUAUAACCUCAAAAUAUAUAUGUUCGAUUAUGGUGAUAUGA
This 7499-nucleotide long non-coding RNA is filed under the name Olea europaea subsp. europaea. Lineage: Eukaryota; Viridiplantae; Streptophyta; Magnoliopsida; Lamiales; Oleaceae. The record is from RNAcentral.